ACUAUUUUGGCAGAUAAGUGCAUUGGAUUUAGAAUCUAUUAAUGUAAAAUUGUUAUUUUUUACAAGUAGUA
Molecule: transfer RNA, 71 nt
Filed under: Trinervitermes sp. IND2
Lineage: Eukaryota; Metazoa; Arthropoda; Insecta; Blattodea; Termitidae
Description: tRNA-Leu
Source: RNAcentral